This 458-nucleotide ribosomal RNA is filed under the name uncultured bacterium. RNAcentral's name for it is "partial 16S ribosomal RNA". It matches the Rfam family "Bacterial small subunit ribosomal RNA", at positions 339 to 795 of the family's 1533-position model. The record is from RNAcentral.
CUACGGGUUGCUGCAGUGAGGAAUAUUGGGCAAUGGAGGCAACUCUGACCCAGCCAUGCCGCGUGCAGGAAGACGGCCCUCUGGGUUGUAAACUGCUUUUGUUUGGGAAUAAACCCUUCUACGUGUAGGAGGCUGAAGGUACCAUUCGAAUAAGGAUCGGCUAACUCCGUGCCAGCAGCCGCGGUAAUACGGAGGAUCCAAGCGUUAUCGGGAUUUAUUGGGUUUAAAGGGUCCGUAGGCGGGUCUUUAAGUCAGUGGUGAAAGCCCACAGCUCAACUGUGGAACUGCCAUUGAUACUGGAGAUCUUGAGUGUAGUAGAAGUAGGCGGAAUAGGGCAUGUAGCGGUGAAAUGCAUAGAUAUGCCCUAGAACACCGAUUGCGAAGGCAGCUUACUAUGUUACAACUGACGCUGAGGGACGAAAGCGUGGGGAGCAAACAGGAUUAGAUACCCUUGAGUC